UCAUUGGAGUGGGUCCCCUAUUUUUAACUUGUCGCAGUAUUUUUCUCAUGAUGGGCACGUUUAAAAGAACGCGUUUAAAAAUGCACAUCUGAGUAUUCACUCAAAUUGGGAUGAAUCAGGAACAGACAAAAUAAAUGCAGUUUGAGGAAGGUCUCUAUUGUGACGCACCACAUGAAAUGAAGUGGGUCCGAGUCCCUCUGCUCUGUUCUAUUCUGAUGCGUCCACUUGCAGACAAACAGAUCCAUUAACAUCUUCAUCAUACUUGUCUGAGCUUGAGCUAAACUAUGGCUGGAAAGCUUCAAUAUUGCUCACCAUUUUGGUUUCACCACUAAUGUUAGUUUUAGGUUGGAAGGACUGUAAGCUAGAGGGAGAGGGCGUAAACAAAGGGAUGAUCGGACAUCAGCAGAAGGUAACUACUGUGUCAAUAGCCCCGCCUACAACUCAGAAGUUAAUUUCUGAUCUACUCCAAACCACUCUGCACAAACUGUCUUUAAACAUCAUCUCAAAGUGCUUUAACCCCAGUAAUCAGUGCUUGCAGUUGUAUUUUUUAUUAUUAAUAUGGACUUUUAAAUUUGAUCCAAUAGGUGGUUGCUGUCAUUGGUGAGGAUGCAUCAUCCGUUGAAGAUCAUGUGAAUGUCCUGCAUAUCCAGUACAGCAAAGUGCGAGAGGAUAUACUAAAGAAGUACCCUUUGAAGACAACCUCAGGGUUGUUUGAUAAGGUUGACCGAAUGCAUCCAUCACCUGUCAGUUUAAGCCAGCGCUUCAAGGACGGAGUUUAAGCCAGCGCUUCAAGGACGGCGUUUACCAGUAUUGUGCCAAAGGUGCUUGAGCUUGUUCAAAGAAAAGCUCCAUUAGCCAAAGUCUCCAAA
Non-coding RNA from Oryzias latipes (Japanese medaka), 869 nucleotides. NCBI's taxonomy places the organism in Eukaryota, Metazoa, Chordata, Actinopteri, Beloniformes, Adrianichthyidae. The record is from RefSeq and is a predicted model, not a curated record.